AAACAAGGCAAAACUAGUCAGAAACAAUAAAGAAAACGUCACAGAGUACACAACCAGAUUGAAAAACUUUCAUCGUAUAAAAAAACGGUGACGGUUUUUCAAUCUGGUUGUGUACUUUGUGAUGUUUUGUUUAUUGUUUGUGACUAGUUUUGUCUUGUUUUU
Non-coding RNA from Podarcis lilfordi (Lilford's wall lizard), 162 nucleotides. The record is from the annotation of a GenBank genome assembly. Lineage: Eukaryota; Metazoa; Chordata; Lepidosauria; Squamata; Lacertidae.